GGUGAAUGAAUCAAUAACUUUGUCGGCACUUGCACGUGCUUCUCGUACACCUCGCUGUUCCUCUCUUUGUAUUCAUCCCUCGUAACAAAUAGUGAGCUGUGUCAAUAGUAUAAUGAUAGAUUGUUAAACAACGUUUUUAUUUUUACG
Long non-coding RNA from Haliotis rubra (blacklip abalone), 147 nucleotides. RefSeq lists it as uncharacterized. NCBI's taxonomy places the organism in Eukaryota, Metazoa, Mollusca, Gastropoda, Lepetellida, Haliotidae. The transcript is spliced from 3 exons. The record is from RefSeq and is a predicted model, not a curated record.